RNAcentral lists this ribosomal RNA (1074 nucleotides) under Triticum aestivum (bread wheat). RNAcentral's name for it is "partial small subunit ribosomal RNA". The record is from RNAcentral. Lineage: Eukaryota; Viridiplantae; Streptophyta; Magnoliopsida; Poales; Poaceae.
AUGUGUCCCAGCCAUCUGGAUUCGUCGCGGAGGGGGCGUGAGCAGGCUGUGUACAGGCUGCACAAAGCUCUAUAUGGUCUGUGUCAAGCUCCAAGAGCGUGGAACGACAAGCUGGAUGCUAGUCUCACAUCUCUCGGGUUCACGCGCAGCGUCGCAGAGUACGGCAUGUACGCGCGCGGAACUGGCGAGAGCCUGCUCAUCGUUGGGGUGUACGUCGACGAUCUGGUGAUCACCGGCGCAAAGGAACAGGAGGUCCUCGGGUUCAAAGAGGAGAUGAAACAACUCUUCUCCAUGAGCGACUUGGGACUGCUUCGCUACUACCUCGGCUUGGAAGUGAAGCAGGAGCGUGGACGCACCACGAUCACACAGGCAGCGUAUGCCUCCAAGCUGCUCGACAAAACUGGGCUGACAGGGUGCUAUCCGACUCGCACUCCUAUGGAGCCACGGUGCCCGUUGAGAAAGGAAAGCAAGGAAGCUGCGGUGGAUGCAACGCUCUACCGCAGCGUGAUCGGCAGCCUGAGGUACCUCGUACACACUCGCCCGGACAUUUCGUUCGCCGUAGGUUUCCUGAGCAGGUUCAUGGAGGCGCCAGCAGCAGACCACUAUGCAGCAGUGAAGCACCUCCUUCGAUACAUAGCGGGCACGCUGAGCUACGGCUGCAUGUACCGCUACGGCGACGGCGAGUCCCUGACAGGCUUCAGCGACUCCGAUCACGCCGGCGACGUGGACACCAGGAAGAGCACUUCUGGCGUGCUGUUCUUUCUUGGUGAAAGCCCCGUCAGCUGGCAAUCUCAGAAGCAAAAGGUCGUCGCAAUCUCAUCUUGCGAGGCGGAGUACAUCGCGGCGGCGACGGCAGCUUGCCAAGGCAUUUGGCUUGCACGUCUCUUCGGCGAGCUGAUGAAUCAACCAGCGGCGCCCUUCUCUCUGUUCAUUGACAACAAAUCUGCGAUCUCCCUCUGCAAGAACCCAGUUCUCCAUGAUCGCAGUAAGCACAUCGACCUUCGAUAUCAUUUCAUUCGUGAUUAUGUUGAGAAGAGAUGGGUGGCCGUGGAGUUCAUCGGUACGAGGGAUUAG